This 813-nucleotide long non-coding RNA is filed under the name Gouania willdenowi (blunt-snouted clingfish). RNAcentral describes it as "lncRNA (ENSGWIG00000021705.1)". Lineage: Eukaryota; Metazoa; Chordata; Actinopteri; Blenniiformes; Gobiesocidae. The record is from RNAcentral.
UCUAAUUCCAGUCCCUCCCCAGGCAGCCAGUGGAACAUCAGGGGUGACCUCCAGUCUGCCUGCUCUCCACAGCCAUAAUGAAGACUUUGGCGUUUGGGGAGCUUUUGGCUCAGCAAGCCGAGAGGUGGAAGAAAUUCAUGCAAAGCCCCAUUGAACAAUGAAAUCACGCUAAGUAUCUCACCACUGACUCACAGGGAGGCCAAUUGCCAAGCUUCAGGAGCGUUGCCAUCGUUCUGCUUUGCAAAGACAUUUCCAGAGUUCAAACAUCACCUCACGGGUUGGACAUUUGGCCGCAAAGGGACAUUAUUAUUCACAGGAAAAUGUGAUGCCAUAUAAUCUGAAGCUGUCCAAUGAUGCAGACAACUCGCCAUGGCUCUACUCCAGCCAGGCCCCCAGCAUGAGGAUGACCCAUCAGUCUGCCAUGUGGUAUAUGAGCCAAUCAGCAGAGAUGAUAAAUGAAAAGUCGAGGCUCAGAGUUACUGGCCCUGUCAGAGGAGAUUUGGGAUGCGAGGGAUGAUGGGGUUGCAGCACCGGAGCAUGGUGUGGUCUCACAGCAGGUUCUUUCAACACCAUAAUGCAACUCUUUGAGCUCAUGGGAGGAAAAAAAUAAGAAUUAAGAAGCAUCCUCAGCGUUAGAGUAUGAGAAAACCAAAUGAGAGUUGACAUUGCCAUGGGAACAGCUUCAUCUUAUGCAUUCAAAGACUAAAGUGCGUGGAAAGAAGCAGGAAAUCUGACGCAGAGGAUGUAUGAUGUUGAAAUGGAGCAGUGACCUUAUUUUCUACCUGAAAUGAAGAGACAGUCCAGCUGGGGCAC